CAGUCGCCGCGGUAAAACAGAGGAUGCAAGCGUUAUCUGGAAUGAUUGGGCGUAAAGCGUCUGUAGGUAGCUUUUCAAGUCCGCCGUCAAAUCUCAGAGCUCAACCCUGGACAGGCGGUGGAAACUGCCAAUCUAGAGUAUCGGAGAGGAAAGUGGAAUUCCUAGUGUAGCGGUGAAAUGCGUAGAUAUUAGGAAGAACACCAGUGGCGAAGGCGGCUUUUUGGCCUGUAACUGACACUGAGGCGCGAAAGCGUGGGGAGCAAACAGGAUUAGAUACCCCCGUAGUCCCUGUCUCUUAUAA
RNAcentral lists this ribosomal RNA (301 nucleotides) under uncultured bacterium. RNAcentral's name for it is "partial 16S ribosomal RNA". It matches the Rfam family "Bacterial small subunit ribosomal RNA", at positions 509 to 809 of the family's 1533-position model. The record is from RNAcentral.